This 500-nucleotide ribosomal RNA is filed under the name uncultured bacterium. RNAcentral describes it as "partial 16S ribosomal RNA". It matches the Rfam family "Bacterial small subunit ribosomal RNA", at positions 30 to 523 of the family's 1533-position model. The record is from RNAcentral.
AUUGAACGCUGGCGGCAUGCCUUACACAUGCAAGUCGAACGGCAGCACGGGAGCAAUCCUGGUGGCGAGUGGCGAACGGGUGAGUAAUAUAUCGGAACGUGCCCAGUCGUGGGGGAUAACGUAGCGAAAGCUACGCUAAUACCGCAUACGAUCUAUGGAUGAAAGCGGGGGAUCGCAAGACCUCGCGCGAUUGGAGCGGCCGAUAUCAGAGUAGGUAGUUGGUGAGGUAAAGGCUCACCAAGCCGACGAUCUGUAGCUGGUCUGAGAGGACGACCAGCCACACGGGGACUGAGACACGGCCCAGACUCGUACGGGAGGCAGCAGUGGGGAAUUUUGGACAAUGGGCGCAAGCCUGAUCCAGCAAUGCCGCGUGCAGGAUGAAGGCCUUCGGGUUGUAAACUGCUUUUGUACGGAACGAAACGGCGAGCUCUAAUACAGUUUGCUAAUGACGGUACCGUAAGAAUAAGCACCGGCUAACUACGUGCCAGCAGCCGCCGUAA